Molecule: ribosomal RNA, 495 nt
Filed under: uncultured bacterium
Lineage: Bacteria
Description: partial 16S ribosomal RNA
Rfam family: Bacterial small subunit ribosomal RNA
Source: RNAcentral
GACGAACGCUGGCGGCGUGCCUAAUACAUGCAAGUAGAACGCUGAAGGAGGAGCUUGCUUCUCUGGAUGAGUUGCGAACGGGUGAGUAACGCGUAGGUAACCUGCCUGGUAGCGGGGGAUAACUAUUGGAAACGAUAGCUAAUACCGCAUAAGAGUAGAUGUUGCAUGACAUUUGCUUAAAAGGUGCAAUUGCAUCACUACCAGAUGGACCUGCGUUGUAUUAGCUAGUUGGUGGGGUAACGGCUCACCAAGGCGACGAUACAUAGCCGACCUGAGAGGGGGAUCGGCCACACUGGGACUGAGACACGGCCCAGACUCCUACGGGAGGCAGCAGUAGGGAAUCUUCGGCAAUGGACGGAAGUCUGACCGAGCAACGCCGCGUGAGUGAAGAAGGUUUUCGGAUCGUAAAGCUCUGUUGUAAGAGAAGAACGAGGGUGAGAGUGGAAAGUUCACACUGUGACGGUAUCUUACCAGAAAGGGACGGCUAACUACGUG